AGAAGACACUUCCGUCUUCACAAAAUACAAAUGGAGUGGCGUCGCAGGUUACUUUGCGGGAACUAAGAGUCAUUUCCUUGAAUUUAGAAGGUUGCUCUUCUGGGACAUGCAGGUUACUUUCAAACAACCUACAAGAGGAUAAAGCUGAACGAUGUUACAAUAAACAUUCCAGAGGGAGUCACCCACCCAUAAUUAGAGACUCAGGAGGCUGAGUAAGAUAGAUGACUGCAGUGUGUGUCAGUGGAGGUGGAGGGGGUCGUGCCGUUCCAGAGGCUGCUGGUUAAAUGCAGGUGGCUGGGUGUACGCGUCAGCUUUUAUCUCAGCUUUGAACACAGGUUUUUUGCUGAAGUGGAUUAAAACCGUUCCAAAUACAACAUGUUUGGACUGUUAGAAAGCAAAAGAUAAAGAGGGAUUUUAGCUUUCAAAGCCACAUGGAGUCCAAAUCAAUAAAAGAAUGGCUUUCAGUGAAAUAAAUCAAAGUUUUGGAAUGGCCUUUCCAAAGUCGAAACCUAAAUCCAAUGUACAAGGAGGAGCUGAAAGAAGACUAUUGACAAGAGAUGUUCACAGUCUGAUAGACUUGAAAAAUUUUGGAACGGCAAAAGAGCUAAAUAUUUCCAAGUCAAGAUGUCGGAUGCUGAUAGACAAAUCCAGAAAUUGAAUUUAAAGCUGGUUUAACAAAGUUAUCAGUUUAACUUUGUGCAUAGUUAUAUAACCGGACUGCUUUUGAUUUUUGUAAUGUUGCCUUUAUCAUAAUCUUUUUGUUUUUCUCCAUAAAAAUGUUAUACUUAACAGAGAUUUGUAAACUUUUUCCAUCCAUUGUCGUGUGAAAUGGAUGGACAAACCUCAAGUAUGUUUAGGUUCUGGUCCAACUGUGUCAUAAGCCACGCCCCCUUUUAAUGCUCAUUGAUUGGUCAGUCUGUGUGGGAGUUGUUUUGAUUCAUUCAGUUUUAAAUGCAAACUGUCUGAUGGGACAUAAACAGAGAAUUGUAAAAAUUAUUCAUAAUGAAGUCUUAAAACCACGUGCUUUUUGCUGUCCAUCUUAUCAUAUGUACUUUUUUUCAGUUUGCCAAUGAAUUGUUAGUUUUUUUGUGCUCUACAAUGCUACAAACAUAUCUAGAAAGAGACAAUAAUUCUACCUUUAAGAUAAUAAAGAGAGAAUAAGGA
Poecilia latipinna (sailfin molly) is the source of this 1164-nucleotide long non-coding RNA. RefSeq lists it as uncharacterized. Lineage: Eukaryota; Metazoa; Chordata; Actinopteri; Cyprinodontiformes; Poeciliidae. The record is from RefSeq and is a predicted model, not a curated record. The transcript has 4 exons.